UAUAUAUGGACUAACUAUAUGGUACUUCUUUUCAAAUGCUUUUUCCUAAAUGAAACCAGUAUUUUCUCUUCUUUUCAGAAAGCAGCUUGGCAUCACGAACAAAGUAGCUGUGGAAAGGAAUUCAAAUGGGUCAGAUCUACUGAAAUCAAGAAUUUCCAGGAAUUAAGAUGUUUUACACCUGGUUGGCAAGAUCUCGACAAUGAAAAACCCUAAAAGGAGCUGAAGGAAGAAGGAUGUUUUCUGUUAGAGAAGAGAAACUGAAGGCUGCUUCUACAGGACCAGCACUAGGGGGCACCGGAGCAAAGUAUACUGAGC
Long non-coding RNA from Ailuropoda melanoleuca (giant panda), 315 nucleotides. RefSeq lists it as uncharacterized. The transcript is spliced from 3 exons. The record is from RefSeq and is a predicted model, not a curated record. NCBI's taxonomy places the organism in Eukaryota, Metazoa, Chordata, Mammalia, Carnivora, Ursidae.